CCCAAGAGAUCGGGAUAACACCUGGAAACAGAUGCUAAUACCGGAUAACAAUAGAUGAUGCCUAUCAACUGUUUAAAAGAUGGUUCUGCUAUCACUCUUGGAUGGACCUGCGGUGCAUUAGCUAGUUGGUAGGGUAACGGCCUACCAAGGCGAUGAUUCAUAGCCGAGUUGAGAGACUGAUCGGCCACAUUGGGACUGAGACACGGCCCAAACUCCUACGGGAGGCAGCAGAG
Molecule: ribosomal RNA, 233 nt
Filed under: uncultured Lactobacillus sp.
Lineage: Bacteria; Bacillati; Bacillota; Bacilli; Lactobacillales; Lactobacillaceae
Description: partial 16S ribosomal RNA
Rfam family: Bacterial small subunit ribosomal RNA
Source: RNAcentral